GAUGAACGCUGGCGGCGUGCCUAAUACAUGCAAGUCGAGCGAACAGACGAGGAGCUUGCUCCUUUGACGUUAGCGGCGGACGGGUGAGUAACACGUGUAUAACCUACCUAUAAGACUGGGAUAACUUCGGGAAACCGGAGCUAAUACCGGAUAACAUGUUGAACCGCAUGGUUCAACAGUGAAAGACGGUCUUGCUGUCACUUAUAGAUGCAUCCCCGCCGCAUUAGCUAGUUGGUAAGGUAACGGCUUACCAAGGCAACGAUGCGUAGCCGACCUGAGAGGGUGAUAGGCCACAUGGGAACGGAGACACGGUCCAGACUCCUAAGGGAGGCAGCAGUAGGGAAUCUUCCGCAAUGGGCGAAAGCCUGACGGAGCAACGCCGCGUGAGUGAAGAAGGUCUUCGGAUCGUAAAACUCUGUUAUUAGGGAAGAACAAAUGUGUAAGUAACUAUGCACGUCUUGACGGUACCUAAUCAGAAAGCCACGGCUAACUACGUG
RNAcentral lists this ribosomal RNA (497 nucleotides) under uncultured bacterium. RNAcentral's name for it is "partial 16S ribosomal RNA". It matches the Rfam family "Bacterial small subunit ribosomal RNA", at positions 28 to 507 of the family's 1533-position model. The record is from RNAcentral.